CCCCUGCGCCCUCUCGCAGCCGCCCGGGCCUGCUGCUGCAGGGCAGGCGGGCAAAGGCGGCCCUGUACCCAGCGGUGAGAGCCCAGAGCUGGGGCGAAGAAAGAGGGGAGGUGGGGAAGCGUCGCGGAACCUCCGGGACUAGAUACUCCGGAAGGGGGCUCCGCACGAGAGGGAAAGCCCCACUGAGACUUUAGGGAAACUUCAACUACGCGGCGAUUGCACCCUGGUGAUCCGCUCUAUAGCCUCCCGCAGAAGAGCCAGCCCCCUAGCUCUCCUGACGUUUAUUGUCCAGGGUCCUUAAGUCCAACCAGGCUGCGCUGUGAGAGCCCCGCGGGCUUUCUACUCGCUUGUCCCACCACUACGUCCUAGCCGUUUGCGCCUCUGGGGAAGGGCGCCCUCUCUGUUCAUCCCUGGAAAUGACCAGUUGUCCGACUGCCUUCUGGACCUAUAAGCUUUGGUUUAACAAACUUCAUCUCUUCUCGGGUGCCUUUUGGGAACUCUCCCCUCUAUGAAUGGCGACCAAACUUGGACCACCUGCGCCAGGUGAUGUGGCCAUCUACAAUGCGUGACCCAGGUCUGGUAGUAAAAGACCUCACUUAUGGAAGAUAUUUCGGCAGCUACAAUUUCAGCAAUUGAAGAACUAGGGGAACAUACACACACACACACACACACACACACACACACACACACACGGAUUAAGGGAAAGGGAAGAAUUGUUUAAAGUAAUAUAUGAGAAAUUUGUUUGAGUAUUGUUUAAUCCCCAGAGGCUGUCAAAUAGGUAUGUUUCCCAUGUGGAUUGUGCCUAAGGACAACGGCAACAUUACCAAUUAACAGAAAUUAACCUAAAUUCAAUUCACCUAUGGAGUCAGAACAUUAGAGUGAAUGGGAUUAUUUCAACCUGAACAACGCGAAAAAGCAAGAAUACAGUACUGGUAUUAUUACUACUGUUGGGGGUUCCUUGAGAAGUGAUAGCAUCAUAAAAAUUGCUUUAGAGUAAAACAUUGCUUGCUUCUUCAUCUAGCUCAGCACUAAAUUAUAUGCUAGGUGUUCUUUCUAAGUUCUAUGAAAGACUUAUGGUGAAAUGUUGUAUAUAAUUGACUUUAUUAUCAAAGGAUCACAAUAUUGGAAGUGAGAUGGUCAUUGGACUUUGAGAUGUGGGUGGCAUCCUGAGGAUCCCUUCUGCCACCACCUUGGAUAAGUCAAAAUAUUCCUAAGCACAAAAAAACUUUGUUCUCAUUUUAUCCUGGAUCCAAACAAACAAAAAACUGGAGAUGUGGGACAAAUCUGAGCCCUUUCAGACACCCACAAAACAGAUGCUUUUUUAAAAAGGCAAGAAAAUGCUAGGACACAUUAUAUUUUGUCUGGUUUGGCUUGCUCAUUAUUUGAUAACUGCACCUUAAAUUGUGAUCUGCCAAUAGAUCAUGAUACCAGGAGCCUAAGAGCAUAAUGUAGUGAACUUUCUGGGUCUGCUUCCUCAAAAGUAAAUGGAACUUAAUUCCUCCCUAUUUCCUAGAAUUUUGACCAGGAUCAAAAAGGGAAGUGUAUGAGAGAGCAUUGUUAAACCAUACACAUUACAACAAUGGCAGGGAUUUACUCCCCACAUACUUAUUUUGUCUCAAAUUUAGUAAGCAACAUCCUCUGCAAGUUGUAAAGCUCUCAUUUGCAAAAAAAAAAUAAAAAUAAAAAUAAAAAA
This 1693-nucleotide long non-coding RNA is filed under the name Macaca fascicularis (crab-eating macaque). RNAcentral describes it as "lncRNA (ENSMFAG00000051425.1)". The record is from RNAcentral. Lineage: Eukaryota; Metazoa; Chordata; Mammalia; Primates; Cercopithecidae.